RNAcentral lists this ribosomal RNA (661 nucleotides) under Enterobacter sp. RNAcentral describes it as "bacterial SSU rRNA". It matches the Rfam family "Bacterial small subunit ribosomal RNA", at positions 96 to 753 of the family's 1533-position model. The record is from RNAcentral. Lineage: Bacteria; Pseudomonadati; Pseudomonadota; Gammaproteobacteria; Enterobacterales; Enterobacteriaceae.
UGGCGGACGGGUGAGUAAUGUCUGGGAAACUGCCUGAUGGAGGGGGAUAACUACUGGAAACGGUAGCUAAUACCGCAUAACGUCGCAAGACCAAAGAGGGGGACCUUCGGGCCUCUUGCCAUCGGAUGUGCCCAGAUGGGAUUAGCUAGUAGGUGGGGUAACGGCUCACCUAGGCGACGAUCCCUAGCUGGUCUGAGAGGAUGACCAGCCACACUGGAACUGAGACACGGUCCAGACUCCUACGGGAGGCAGCAGUGGGGAAUAUUGCACAAUGGGCGCAAGCCUGAUGCAGCCAUGCCGCGUGUAUGAAGAAGGCCUUCGGGUUGUAAAGUACUUUCAGCGGGGAGGAAGGCGAUAAGGUUAAUAACCUUGUCGAUUGACGUUACCCGCAGAAGAAGCACCGGCUAACUCCGUGCCAGCAGCCGCGGUAAUACGGAGGGUGCAAGCGUUAAUCGGAAUUACUGGGCGUAAAGCGCACGCAGGCGGUCUGUCAAGUCGGAUGUGAAAUCCCCGGGCUCAACCUGGGAACUGCAUUCGAAACUGGCAGGCUAGAGUCUUGUAGAGGGGGGUAGAAUUCCAGGUGUAGCGGUGAAAUGCGUAGAGAUCUGGAGGAAUACCGGUGGCGAAGGCGGCCCCCUGGACAAAGACUGACGCUCAGGUG